This 335-nucleotide ribosomal RNA is filed under the name uncultured bacterium. RNAcentral describes it as "bacterial SSU rRNA". It matches the Rfam family "Bacterial small subunit ribosomal RNA", at positions 29 to 351 of the family's 1533-position model. The record is from RNAcentral.
AACGAACGCUGGCGGCGUGCCUAAUACAUGCAAGUCGUGCGAGAAAGCCUGAUUUCGGUUGGGCGAGUAAAGCGGCGAACGGGUGAGUAACACGUGGACAAUCUACCUUUAAGUCUGGGAUAAUCCUUCGAAAGGGGGUCUAAUACCGGAUAACACCUCGAGACGGCAUCGUCUUGAGUUCAAAGGCGGGGCAACCUGUCGCUUAGAGAUGAGUCCGCGCUCCAUUAGCUAGUUGGUAGGGUAACGGCCUACCAAGGCGACGAUGGAUAGCCGACCUGAGAGGGUGACCGGCCACACUGGGACUGAGAUACGGCCCAGACUCCUACGGGAGGCUG